Molecule: small nucleolar RNA, 73 nt
Filed under: Sorex araneus (European shrew)
Lineage: Eukaryota; Metazoa; Chordata; Mammalia; Eulipotyphla; Soricidae
Description: Small nucleolar RNA SNORA84 (ENSSARG00000019477.1)
Source: RNAcentral
GCCGGACCAAUCCUGUGAUUAAUGCAUGGAUACUGUCUUUCCUCAGCAGUUUCCAUAGCUCACUGAUACAUGG